This 406-nucleotide ribosomal RNA is filed under the name uncultured bacterium. RNAcentral describes it as "partial 16S ribosomal RNA". It matches the Rfam family "Bacterial small subunit ribosomal RNA", at positions 30 to 526 of the family's 1533-position model. The record is from RNAcentral.
AUUGAACGCUGGCGGCCGGCCUAACACAUGAACGUCGAACGAGUUGCGGACGGGUGAGUAAUGUCUGGGAAACUGCCUGCUGGAGGGGGAUAACUACUGGAAACGGUAGCUAAUACCGAAUACGAUCAGAUGUGCCCAGAUGGGAUUAGCUAGUUGGUGGGGUAACGUCUCACCAAGGCGACGGGCCCGAGCUGGUCUGAGAGGAUGACCAGCCACACGGUAACUGAGACACGGUCCAGCCUCCUAAGGGAGGCAGCAGUGGGGAAUAUUGCACAAUGGGCGCAAGCCUGAUGCAGCCAUGCCGCGUGUAUGAAGAAGGCCUUCGUGUUGUAAAGUACUUUCAGCGGGGAGGCGUUACCCGCAGAAGAAGCACCGGCUAACUCCGUGCCAGCAGCCGCGGUAAUUC